GCCCGCCCACCUACCUCCCCGCCGCUCCAGAGGGGGCUCGCAGAGCUGAGGACGCGCGCAGCGCUGCUCAAGGUCUCUCUCUCUCAGCACCCUCGCCGGCCGGCGUCUGACGCGGGUGCCAGGGUCUCCGGGCACCUUUCAGUGUCCAUUCCCUCAGCCAGCCAGGACUCCGCAACCCAGCAGUUGCCGCUGCGGCCACAGCCCGAGGGGACCUGCGGACAGGACGCCGGCAGGAGGAGGGGUGCGCAGCGCCCGCGCAGAGCGUCUCCCUCGCUACGCAGCGAGACCCGGGCCUCCCGGCCCCAGGAGCCCCCAGCUGCCUCGCCAGGUGUGUGGGACUGAAGUUCUUGGAGAAGGGAGUCCAACUCUUCAAGGUAACU
This 380-nucleotide long non-coding RNA is filed under the name Homo sapiens (human). RNAcentral's name for it is "non-protein coding lnc-ACAN-1:1". Lineage: Eukaryota; Metazoa; Chordata; Mammalia; Primates; Hominidae. The record is from RNAcentral.